Molecule: long non-coding RNA, 470 nt
Filed under: Zostera marina
Lineage: Eukaryota; Viridiplantae; Streptophyta; Magnoliopsida; Alismatales; Zosteraceae
Description: long non-coding RNA (ZMAR_LNC005965)
Source: RNAcentral
GUGAAGGAUGGUGGAAAUGUUCUGGUUAUUCCUGAUGUAGAACCAAGUGUAGUAGCAAGUCAUUACAUAGAAGAAAACAUCAAUAAAAUAGAUGAUGCCCAGCAUAUUGAGGAUACUGAGUUAACAAAAACUCACGUGAGUGAAGUACCUUCACAUGAAGAACCAUUGAACAAAGAACCUUCACAUGAAGAACCAUUGAACAAAGAACCUUUACACGAAGAUCCUUUACACGAAGAAUCUUUACACGAAGAAUCUUUACACGAAGAAUCUUUACACGAAGAAUCUUUACACGAAGAAUCUUUACACGAAGAAUCUUUACAUGAAGAAUCUUUACGUUCAAUUGAGAGGGGGACUCAGGAAACUAGUGUACAAAGUGAUCUACUAAAAGAAGAUACACAACUAUUUGACAAUGAAAAAACUUCUGAGGAUAUAAUGCAACUUAAGGCUUCUUCUAAAAAAAAUAUUGUAGG